UAACAUGCAACACAAUAUAAAUACAUACAAUGAGAGAAAAGUUAGAUUUGACAGAGGAGCACAAAGCUCAGGAAAAACCUGAAAUCACAUGAUGGUUUGUGCGCACAUAUCCAUACACAAAUCCACAAACACCUGUAUAAGUGUAGAGAUGCACACAUAGUGAUGUUUUUUUCCUAUCCCACCUGCAUUAUAAUUACAUACAAUGUGUU
This is a non-coding RNA of Pelobates cultripes (western spadefoot toad), 209 nucleotides long. The record is from the annotation of a GenBank genome assembly. NCBI's taxonomy places the organism in Eukaryota, Metazoa, Chordata, Amphibia, Anura, Pelobatidae.